AACGAACGCUGGCGGCAUGCCUAGCACAUGCAGGUCGAACGAGACCUUCGGGUCUAGUGGCGCACGGGUGCGUAACGCGUGGGAACCUGCCCUUAGGUUCGGAAUAACUCCCCGAAAGGGGUGCUAAUACCGGAUAAUGUCUUCGGACCAAAGAUUUAUCGCCUUUGGAUGGGCCCGCGUUGGAUUAGCUAGUUGGUAGGGUAAAAGCCUACCAAGGCGACGAUCCAUAGCUGGUCUGAGAGGAUGAUCAGCCACACUGGGACUGAGACACGGCCCAGACUCCUACGGGAAGCAGCAGUGGGGAAUAUUGGACAAUGGGCGAAAGCCUGAUCCAGCAAUGCCGCGUGAGUGAUGAAGGCCUUAGGGUUGUAAAGCUCUUUUACCCGGGAUGAUAAUGACAGUACCGGGAGAAUAAGCUCCGGCUAACUCCGUG
Molecule: ribosomal RNA, 433 nt
Filed under: uncultured bacterium
Lineage: Bacteria
Description: partial 16S ribosomal RNA
Rfam family: Bacterial small subunit ribosomal RNA
Source: RNAcentral